This 184-nucleotide unclassified non-coding RNA is filed under the name uncultured fungus. Its description in RNAcentral is "sequence contains ITS1, 5.8S rRNA gene". Lineage: Eukaryota; Fungi. The record is from RNAcentral.
CAUGAUUUACUUUUCUAAACAAACCGUGAACUUUAUAUAUACCAUUCGUGUUUUGUUUGUUUGACUUCGGUCAACUCACAUACACUGUCAUUCGUUGAACAUUAGAUAGCUGGCUCGUACUUAAUCAUACUUUCUCAGCUGAUUUGUUGUACUAAACAUACUUCCAAUCACCAAAAUAUAGAAA